Grammomys surdaster is the source of this 462-nucleotide long non-coding RNA. RefSeq lists it as uncharacterized. NCBI's taxonomy places the organism in Eukaryota, Metazoa, Chordata, Mammalia, Rodentia, Muridae. The record is from RefSeq and is a predicted model, not a curated record. The transcript has 3 exons.
AGACAAAGCAGCUGACAGACAUGCUUCCCAGCAUCCUAAACCAGCUCGGUGCAGACAGUCUGACUAGCUUAAGGAGACUGGCCGAAGCUCUGCCCAAACAAUCUGUGGAUGGAAAAGCUCCACUUGCUACUGGAGAGGAUGAUGAUGAUGAAGUUCCAGAUCUGGUGGAGAAUUUUGAUGAGGCUUCUAAGAAUGAGGCAAACUGAAUGGAAGCAACUUCUGAAGAAGAUGACAUUUGCAGAAGUUACAGGAGCUGCUAUUUUAUAUCAUGACUGCUUUUUAAAAAUUUUUUUGUUUAUUAUGGAUCUGAUAAAAUCUAGAUCUUUAAUAUUUUUAAGCCCAAGCCCCCGGACAGUGCAGCUCUUUUCAGUUUUCGCUUAUAUCUAAUUCUUUGCGGCAAAUUAAGCUGAAAAAGCCUGGGAAUAAAGUUUGGAAAAGGUUAAUAAAAUUCUUUGCCUAGUA